UGCAUGUGCAAGUGAGCAGGGCAGGGGCAGAGAGGGAGAGGGAGAAUCCCAAGCAGACUGCUUGCUGUCAGCACAGAGCCCAAUGUGGGGCUCCGUCCCACAAACCAAGGGCUCAUGACCUGAGCCAAAUUCAAGAGUUGGACACUUAACCCGCUGAGCCACCCAAGUAUCCCCUGCCUGCUAAAAUUUUACCGGUUCUUUCAGACAUAUUUCAGAGAUCACUUCUUCCAUGAAACCUCUGAUCAUCCUCAACCAGGUGUAAAAAAGAGAGUAACUGUGACUUAAAGUAAAAUGACUGGUCGUUCCAGAGUGAGAAGGAGGAAAAGCAAGAAUGGAUAAGAGUGUUGCAGAAAAGGAAUCUUGGGAGAUUCAUGGAAAAGACUUUGAGAACAACUCUGGAAUACAGAUUUCUGAUAACUUGAAGAUCAUGGAACUGAAUGGGAGAAGAAUUUCCAGAACUAAUGGAAAAACUGGAUUCAACAAAAUGAGAAUAAAAAGCAUAUCUCCUGCCAUCGUCCCAAAUGAUUUCUACCUCAGACUGCAUUGACAAACGUGAAGGAGACUUCCACGGAGGGCAAGGACCAGAAUCUAAAUCACAUCAUUCAAAGAAGCUGCUCUUAUCACAAAACAGGACAGACUCAAAAGGGGUAUACCAGAUCACACCAAUUGCCUUCCUGCCUUGGAAUGAUAAAAAAAAAGAAAAAAUCAAGCUCUAGGAGGACACAGCUGACUAAGGAAUGUUGCUUUAGAUGGACAGAGGAAUGGAGAUUCUCACUUAUGCCCAAGGGUGGGUGAAGAAGGGAAAGGAAGGUAAUUUAAGUGGGUACCUUGAAAAAUAGGGGGUUUCUGAGAGAUGAAACAAAUUUGCCAUUCCUUGGAUGUAGCUUAAGAACAGAAACCUCAGAGAUGUACCCCCUUCAAGGAGUUCUGGGGAAAGAGUAAAAAUAAAAAAACGGCACAUGUGGACGACAGAAGAGUCAUGUUUUACCCACUGUUCCCUGUGGCAUGGGAGUAGCAUCGAAGGGGUCCAUACUGUUCCCAUGGCUCCAGGGGAAGCUGUGAAAAUGAACUUGGAAAGUGAGCUGAUGACCAUCCCAAGAGGCCACUUGACCAAAAGAAAGUCACAGACUGAAGGAGAUGCACAUUACAGUGAGGCAUGGGGACCUUUGGAAGACAGCCAAUGGCUGGCAAUCCCAGAACACUGUAUGGGUGACUAUUGUGUCACCAUAGGAGCCAGUACCACAUAGCACUGAUGCCACCAACAAAAGAAUGCCACUCCCCCUGCCAUGGGUGUGCAGAAGAUUAUCUGGAUGGACUUAUCCUUCCCAGACUUGUAUCCCCUCCAGAAAAGGGUGCAGGAAAUUCAGAGUUAAAAUACAAACCUGAAUGAGACUGACUUAGUACUCCUGAUCAAUGGCUGAUUGAAUUUGCCCCAACACUAUUUUCUGGAGGCAGAUCAGUAGCUCCUUUUCUCCUCACUCAAGUCGGUGGCUGUAGAACUGAAACUUGAGACAUAAAUUUGGGAUCAGAUGGAUUCACUUUGUAUCCCAAAAACCAGUGUUAAAGACAAUAUGUGGCAAGAAUGCUAACCUCUAACUCACACAAAAAUCUUGCUGACACACAAGAAAUCACUAUUGUAUUACCCAUCAUGGCCCAGGCUUUCUCAGUAUUUCUUCCUGCACAAAACAUAUUUCUAAGAUUCUAUUUAAAAUGCAGUACCAAUUUCAGUACAACCAUUUUUUUCCAAUGUUUAUUUCUUUUUGAGACAGAGAGACAGCAAGCAGGGGAGGGGCAGAGAGAGAGGGAGACACAGAAUCCAAAGCAGGCUCCAGGCUCUGAGCUGUCAGCACAGAGCCCGACGUGGGGCUCGAACUCACGGACCGCAAGAUCACGACCCACCUGAGCUGUAGUCAGACUGAGCCACCCACGCACCCCUCAGCACAACAUUUUAAACUAAGUCAUUAUUAAAUAAAGAUCAGGUUUUCAAUAUGUUAAGGGUUAUACUGCUCAUGAGUUUAGUGUUACCAAGGACAGUAUAAAGGCAGGGAGAUACAGCCUGGACAAAGAGAGCACUUAGAUCUCCAUAUCUGCCUUUUCAUUCCAGAGGGAAAUGCUACCAAGUAGACUGCGCAUCCAUGAGAGCCUGGAGUGAGUAUUUUGACAUUCGCAAAACAACCCCGGAUCUUUAUGGGCCCCCUCAUCCCUGAACCCCAGCUUUGAAAGAGUUUGCUAAGGAGCCCACACUCUUCAAGAUCUUUUCUCAACCUGAAGAGAGAAAGAAAUCAGUCGGGGAGCUUGUUAAACAAGAAGAUUUGGAUUGAGCUGUCCUGGAAUUCUGCAUUUCUUGACAACCAUGAGCCACAAUUUGAGCAGAGACUGCAUGGAGGACUUGGUUAAUGAGUUCUGGGUGCGCAGCUUGAGCUGCUCCAUCUGAAGACUUCUCAGUAUGGGACCUCAAUUACUGUCACCUUCCUGCACCGCAGCAUGCUCCACAGUCUCGGCAGGGCCCUGCUCCCCAUGCUAGGGCUUCAUCAGCACAAUUAAUCACUCCAGUUCUCUGCAAGUUCUCUGCUCAUUUGUCAGGAUUUCCCUGUUUUGACACCAAAGAACGACAUCUCUCAAAUCGUUUAGGAAGUAGUUUCCCAUCCUGGUGCACACCUGCCAUCUGGUGGUGAGAAUUUAACGCCAAGUUACAGGGAAAUAAGAGCCGUCCUUUAAUUCUGCCUCCCCUGCCCCUUUCUACUCCCUCUCCACCCCUCUCUUGCUAUGGUUAACAAUUCAAAGAGUGUUUGGUGAGUGUAAAAUUUAAAAGGUGAUGUUGCCACAUUGUGCCUCGGUGCCUCACCUGGCGGGAUUGGAGAGUGGGCAUUUGAGAGAUUCAUUCCAGGAAUGCCUCUGAGGCUGAGGUGAAACUAAAAGCUUGCAGGAGGUUAUAAUCGCCUCCAAGUGGGUUUGAUACCAAUGCCUAUGGAACCAGGCUCCUCCUGUCCAGACCCUAGAGGAGCUGGGGCUUCCUGGGGCUGACAUGAUCCAAGGCAACGCUGGAGAAAUCAGGUCUUGUGCUCUGGAACACUGUGAUAGAGGAAAGACAUUCUACCAACAUUACUUACUAAGAAAGGAUAAUUAGCCCAUGAAUAUUCUUAAUCAAGAGGUCUAGGGUUGGCUUCUAUUUCAUUUAUUUUUUUAUUGAUUGAUUGAUUAACUUUAUUUGAGAGAGAGAGAGAAAGCAUGAGUGUGAGGGGCAGAGAGAGAGAGAGAAAGAGAGAAUUCCAAGCAGACUCUUGGCUGUCAGCACUUCUUAUCUUACAGAGAAGCCACAUGAACUUAAAUGGGCAAACUGGCAUGACCUUAGGGCAUUCGCCUUUACUGGCACAGCGGGCGCAACUGUGUUUGCCCUUACUUACAUCAUGCAUUUUCUGUAUUCGCUCUUGGAGACUGGAGGUGAAAAAGAAUACGCUGAGCUUGGAGGGGAGAAGAGAGAAACUGCUCCUGUUUCUGUCAACAUCUGGAAUCUACCAAACUCUCAUGCCGGUAAUGAGAAGAUGAAAAUGAGGGUGGAAAGAACACCAGAAUACGUUUAGAUCAUGGAGGCUCUCACUCCGGUUUUUAUUCUGACAGGUCUUCCGACGGCUCUGCACCUCAAUCUCGUCUCUUAUAAAACGCAGGUUUGACACUUCUCCCACAAGACUGUAGUU
Molecule: long non-coding RNA, 3695 nt
Organism: Neofelis nebulosa (Clouded leopard)
Lineage: Eukaryota; Metazoa; Chordata; Mammalia; Carnivora; Felidae
Exons: 4
Source: RefSeq, a predicted model, not a curated record